CGCAUUCAUAUGUUGCACAUUGUAUAUACAGGCGGUGUUGACGGUGCUCGGCCAAGGUUAGCCCGAAUAACGAAUGUAAAGCCGCCUGGCGAAAAAAAGUUUGGAAGAAAGAUUGGUGUCAAGCGUACGACAGAGAAUAAAAGUUUCAAAACCGGUUUGUUUUCAUAGCGAAAUCAAAAUCAGCUUGAGAUUUUCAAAUAGAACCAGGGCAAGACAGAAUUAGGCUAACCAUAAGAAAAUAAAAAAUGGAACUUGAAGAAUCUAUCGAAACAAUAAAUUUUAUAAAUGUUAUUUUACACUGUAGACCAGUGAAUCGACAUUAAACCUGCUACUCAUAGAACGGAAAUCCGCUAAAUAAUUUAU
This is a long non-coding RNA of Eufriesea mexicana, 363 nucleotides long. RefSeq lists it as uncharacterized. The transcript has 3 exons. The record is from RefSeq and is a predicted model, not a curated record. Lineage: Eukaryota; Metazoa; Arthropoda; Insecta; Hymenoptera; Apidae.